AUUGAACGCUGGCGGCAUGCUUUACACAUGCAAGUCGAACGGUAACAGGCCUUCGGGUGCUGACGAGUGGCGAACGGGUGAGUAAUGCAUCGGAACGUACCCAGAGGUGGGGGAUAACGCAGCGAAAGCUGUGCUAAUACCGCAUGUGAUCUGAGGAUGAAAGCGGGGGACCGAGCAGCAAUGUUUGGCCUCGCGCCUUUGGAGCGGCCGAUGUCGGAUUAGCUAGUUGGUGGGGUAAAGGCCUACCAAGGCGACGAUCCGUAGCUGGUCUGAGAGGACGACCAGCCACACUGGGACUGAGACACGGCCCAGACUCCUACGGGAGACAGCAGUGGGGAAUUUUGGACAAUGGGCGCAAGCCUGAUCCAGCAAUGCCGCGUGCGGGAAGAAGGCCUUCGGGUUGUAAACCGCUUUUGGCAGGAACGAAACGGUGUCCGCUAAUACCGGGCGCUAAUGACGGUACCUGCAGAAUAAGCACCGGCUAACUACGUG
RNAcentral lists this ribosomal RNA (492 nucleotides) under uncultured bacterium. Its description in RNAcentral is "partial 16S ribosomal RNA". It matches the Rfam family "Bacterial small subunit ribosomal RNA", at positions 29 to 507 of the family's 1533-position model. The record is from RNAcentral.